Long non-coding RNA from Oncorhynchus tshawytscha (Chinook salmon), 332 nucleotides. NCBI's taxonomy places the organism in Eukaryota, Metazoa, Chordata, Actinopteri, Salmoniformes, Salmonidae. The record is from Ensembl.
CUGGUGAGGAGAACUAUCCCUCAGUCUGAUUCAGUAUCAGCAGGCCCAGGCCCUGGUGAGGAGAACUAUCCCUCAGUCUGAUUCAGUAUCAGCAGGCCCUGGCCCUGGUGAGGAGAACUAUCCCUCAGUCUGAUUCAGUAUCAGCAGGCCCUGGCCCUGGUGAGGAGAACUAUCCCUCAGUCUGAUUCAGUAUCAGCAGGCCCAGGCCCUGGUGAGGAGAACUAUCCCUCAGUCUGAUUCAGUAUAAACAGGCCCUGGCCCUGGUGAGGAGAACUAUCCCUCGGUCUGUUUCAGUAUCAGCAGGCCCAUGCCCUGGUGAGGAGAACUAUCCC